UUUCAUGAACGUGCUUGGCUUAAGCUUGGCUCUAGCAUUUAUUUACAGUUUUCAGAUUGGCUAUGUCAAAGUAGGUCAAGCUGGUGAAAGUUUCAAUAUCUAAAAACGUGGCGGUGAGACUGACAAGGUCAUUUGAUGAGAUAAGGUUUGCUGUAUUUUUGCGAAAGCUGGCUUAGCUAGAAAUCAACGCUCUGUUUGGGUAUAGGAAAG
RNAcentral lists this unclassified non-coding RNA (210 nucleotides) under Hevea brasiliensis (rubber tree). The record is from RNAcentral. Lineage: Eukaryota; Viridiplantae; Streptophyta; Magnoliopsida; Malpighiales; Euphorbiaceae.